RNAcentral lists this ribosomal RNA (440 nucleotides) under uncultured bacterium. Its description in RNAcentral is "partial 16S ribosomal RNA". It matches the Rfam family "Bacterial small subunit ribosomal RNA", at positions 338 to 795 of the family's 1533-position model. The record is from RNAcentral.
CCUACGGGAGGCAGCAGUGGGGGAUAUUGCACAAUGGGGGGAACCCUGAUGCAGCGACGCCGCGUGGGUGAAGAAGCGCCUCGGCGCGUAAAGCCCUGUCAGCAGGGAAGAAAAUGACGGUACCUGAAGAAGAAGCCCCGGCUAACUACGUGCCAGCAGCCGCGGUAAUACGUAGGGGGCAAGCGUUAUCCGGAUUUACUGGGUGUAAAGGGGGCGCAGACGGCGAUGCAAGCCAGGAGUGAAAGCCCGGGGCCCAACCCCGGGACUGCUCUUGGAACUGCGUGGCGGGAGUGCAGGAGGGGCAGGCGGAAUUCCUGGUGUAGCGGUGAAAGGCGUAGAUAUCAGGAGGAACACCGGUGGCGAAGGCGGCCUGCUGUACUGCAACUGACGUUGAGGCCCGAAAGCGUGGGGAGCAAACAGGAUUAGAUACCCUUGUAGUC